GGAUGGACAGACCGCUGGUGUACCAGUUGUUCCGCCAGGAGCACAGCUGGGUAUCCAUGUCUGGAUGGGAUAAGCGCUGAAGGCAUCUAAGCGCGAAGCCCACCUCAAGAUAAGGUUUCCCAUCCGGCUAACGGAGUAAGACCCCUGGUAGACCACCAGGUUGAUAGGCCGGGAGUGUAAGCGCAGCAAUGCGUUCAGCGGACCGGUACUAAUAGGUCGAGGGCUUGACCCG
RNAcentral lists this ribosomal RNA (232 nucleotides) under Bacillota bacterium. RNAcentral describes it as "partial 23S ribosomal RNA". It matches the Rfam family "Bacterial large subunit ribosomal RNA", at positions 2695 to 2925 of the family's 2925-position model. The record is from RNAcentral. Lineage: Bacteria; Bacillati; Bacillota.